Molecule: non-coding RNA, 82 nt
Organism: Arabidopsis suecica
Lineage: Eukaryota; Viridiplantae; Streptophyta; Magnoliopsida; Brassicales; Brassicaceae
Source: the annotation of a GenBank genome assembly
CCAUGGUGGUGAGGGCAUUGAGUAAUGUAGCCCUUGAAUCAGAAUUCUUCUGUGUGAAUCUUGAAAUCUCAUUCCUCAAUCU